Molecule: long non-coding RNA, 283 nt
Filed under: Panax ginseng (ginseng)
Lineage: Eukaryota; Viridiplantae; Streptophyta; Magnoliopsida; Apiales; Araliaceae
Description: long non-coding RNA (PGIN_LNC019133)
Source: RNAcentral
UUUUAAACUUGCUGGGCAACUUUCAUGCUCACCCUUGCUAUAUCAUGAUAAAACAUUGCAGAUAAGGCGAAUACGGCCAAAUACAAAAAAAGGAUAAUGCCAAGUUCAGCUUGGGAUAGAAUGUGCAGCUAGAUUGUAAUGGUAUAGUUUGUAAUAGUAUAGUUUAUGAUUUGUGUAUUAGUUAAGGUUACUCGAUUUUGGGGAAUAGUGUGUAAAAUGUAAUGUAUAAACAAUUUAUGUUUAUAUCUUCCGCAACAGUUGUAGAAAUAGCGAACCGGAUCCG